CGAUAAGUCAGAUGUGAAAUCCCCGGGCUCAACCUGGGAACUGCAUCUGAUACUGUUGAGCUAGAGUAUGUGAGAGGAAGGUAGAAUUCCAGGUGUAGCGGUGAAAUGCGUAGAGAUCUGGAGGAAUACCGAUGGCGAAGGCCAGCCUUCUGGCAUAAUACUGACACUGAGGCUCGAAAGCGUGGGUAGCAAACAGGAUUAGAUACCCUGGUAGUCCACGCCGUAAACGAUGUCUACUAGUCGUUGGGUCCCUUGAGGACUUAGUGACGCAGUAACGCAAUAAGUAGACCGCCUGGGGAGUAGUACGGCCGCAAGGUUAAAACCUCAAAUGAAUUGACGGGGGCCGCACAAGCGGUGGAGCAUGUGGUUUAAUUCGAUGCAACGCGAAGAACCUUACCUGGUCUUGACAUAUCUAGAAUCCUGCAGAGAUGCGGGAGUGCUUCGGGAAUUAGAAUACAGGUGCUGCAUGGAUGUCGUCAGCUACGUGUCGUGAGA
RNAcentral lists this ribosomal RNA (495 nucleotides) under Psychrobacter sp. GCM8. Its description in RNAcentral is "bacterial SSU rRNA". It matches the Rfam family "Bacterial small subunit ribosomal RNA", at positions 581 to 1072 of the family's 1533-position model. Lineage: Bacteria; Pseudomonadati; Pseudomonadota; Gammaproteobacteria; Moraxellales; Moraxellaceae. The record is from RNAcentral.